UUAAGCUCCUCUGCCCGUGUAGCAUCAGACGCUGCCGUGGACACAUCACAGCCGCUGAAGUUGGUGAUGUCCUGGAUGCCUCUCCAAACUUCUCGCAGAUUGUUGCUGGAAAUGUGAGACUCUAAACCAGGGGUGUCCAAACUACGGUCUGUUUUUAUUGGCCCGCAGCAAAUUUUGAAAAUAUAAUUGAAUAUGGCCCGCACAUGGCGCUUGAGCUCAACUCUGUUGCACUUCUCAGUUUCAACACUAGAUGGAGUCGGUCACAGAAAGGUGUUUCUCCGCUGUACAAAAUUAAGCAAAGAAGAAUAUUUACCACGAGACCCCAGAAAUGGCAGCACUGAAGAAACGCAAGAUAGAAAAUCUUGCCGUGAUGAAAGAGUAAAAUGUCCGUCGGCACUAUGAGACCAAGCAUCAGAGCAGCUACGCUUCGUACACGGCUGCCGAACGAGCACAGAAAUUCAAGCAAAUGGCAGCUAGCCUGCAAGCUCAACAACAGUUUUUUUCCCAUCACGGCUUCAUAAGAGCAAAGGGCACAGGCUUAGGAAGUAAAGGAAGCUCCUAUGAGCCGUCUCCGUCUGACACCUACAAGGAUGCUGUUCGCAAGGCCAUGUUUGCACGCGUCACAGAGAGUGAACCUAAAAGGUGAAGAAAAUGCAUUCUGAACUGUGAAAAAGUAUUCCCUUUAUGUAGAAAAGAACUUUUUGUUUUUGGAAUUUUUUUUUGUUUAUAGCUUCAUAUUUUGUCACAGAGUGUAAUUGUAAAAUGAAGCUUUCUAAAUUGUGUGCGUCAAAUUGUGUGUUAAAAUUGUCCUCGUUGGUCACCCAUAAGCCCCUUUUUUUUGGGUCUACUUUUCUGAGAAAACAGUCGACUCUUUAUAAUCUACAAAAUCAUGCGCUCUGCCAGUCAACCACACUAACGGCUAUGUAUGUGAAGAUCUGCUGGCUUCAGCUGCUCAAUUAACCCGUUCUGAACUGCCUGGUUGGAAUGAGGUUUCAUUGUCUGAGUGAAUGUUUCAUUUUGACGUGCGCUUGUUUUAUGUGGCACAGAUCAGCAUCACUGCUCCCACUGAGAGCAAUGUUCUUCACAUUACAGGUGAGUUAAAAAUACACAGUAAUCGUGUCGAUAUGUCACCUCUUGUGUGCGGCCCGGACCUUUGCUCAUUUUUCUGUAUUUGGCCCUCACCAAAAAAUCUUUGGACACCCCUGCUCUAAACGCAUCCUGUGGUCUGCCUUGGCUGCUUUUACUCCUCUUUUCAGGUCAGCUCGGGCAGCACUGUAUAGCGCUCCGUCCCCUGACCUGAAGGCGGGGUCUCGAGCUCUGAGGAGGGAGCGGACUUGGCUGGUCAUCCAGGGUUUCUGGUUUGGAAAAAUCCUGAUGGUUUUGUCCACAGUCACAUUCCCAAUGCAGAACUUUAUGUAGUCCAACACUGUUCCUGAGAGUGUCUCCAGCUCCUGAUGGUGGAAUAAGUACCAGUCUGUCUGCAGGAAGCAGUCCUGCAGCAGUGGAACGGCAUCCUUAGGCCAGACUGUGAUGGUCUUUGUGGUGGGCUUAGAUUGGCGUCUGAGGGGGGUGUAGGCUGGGAAGAGCAGGAGGGAAAGAUGGUCUGACUGCCCGAGGUGGGGGAGGGGGAUGGCUCUGUAUGCAUGCUUGAUGUUCAUGUAGACAUGAUCCAGAGUGUUCUCCCCCCUUGUAGAACACUUCACAUGCUGAUAAAACUUCGGGAGAACAGUCUUUAAAUUGGCCUUAUUAAAGUCUCCUGCCACAAUCGGGGUGAGCCCGUAGGUUUUUGUUUAUGACGUUCAGCAGGAGAGAGAGCGCUUUGUUUACGUUGGCGUCUGGCGGGAUGUACACAGCCAUGAUAAGCCGUUUCUCUCCCCUUGGACUCCUGCUGCAAAGAGCGUCCCUCACAGAAGAAAGUGAGCCCCCCUGUCACUAUCCACUGUCAUGGUUGGACAUAUUAGAAGUCACUUCUCUAAUGCAAACUGCUGCUCCACCUGCUGGUCUAUGACAGUGUUGCUCCCAGAGGCUCCUUUUUCUCAUGGUGACCUCUGUCAGGUUGCAGACCCCUGAGUCAAAAACUAAAAGUCAGAAUGGUUAAAAGUUGUUGAAGGCUUUUGUGCGGCCAACAGCAAUACUAAAGGGCAUUUUCCCAACAGAAUGAAAAGAGCAAAAGCUAUUCCACUGUAUGAGUUUGAGGAUGAGCACAGCGUCACAAAUCACAGACCUGUCUCUACACUGCAACAACAUUUGAACAUUUUAGAAAAACUCUAGAAAUUUAUGAGGUUCUAACUGACUGACAAGAGAUCUUAAAAGAUAAAACUAGAGCUACGUUCAAAAAGAAAUAAGCAGUGGGGACAUUUACUAAAAAAAAACAUUUGACAAUAUUUAUUUACUAGAAGGAGCUGAAUUUGCUGAAAAAAUGGCUGAAAAUUUGAAGAUGUUAUAAACUUUGAAAUGAUCAAAUUUGGCCAUAAAUAAAGUGAAAACAGCACAAGAACAAAGAAGAUAUGUUUGUUAAAAUGGGAGCAUCGGGUAUCAUCAAAGCAGAGAAGUUGUGCAGCACAGCUCACGUGUCUCGCCAUGACGACGCCACCAAGCAGGUACAGUGGACAGGAGCUGUUCUUCAUCAUUUAGUGAGAAAACAGCUGUUUGUUUUGUUUGAUGUCAUUCCCUCUACCGUCCAGCAGGGGGCGGUGUAGGAGCAACAAGAAACAGUGUUUUUCACUAAAAAGAGAAAACUUGUUCAAGUUUCCAGAAGCUGCUGGAUCAACAACUGUGGGAGUUCUUGUCAGAAUAUUCUGAUGAAGAGUACAGAGUAGAUCAAAAGGCUGGGUCUGGAUGUUUCCUCAGGCUGUGCUACAGCGUCUACUCUCAGGUGUGAUCCCACUGCUGAGCGGCACGCGGGCUUUGACCUGCUCCGUUUCCGGCCUGGGCCGGUUCACCCGUCCUUGGACGACCUGGUCUCCCCGGGCUCCCCCAGAAAGACCAUAUCGGUACCGAACUCAGUGCAGACACCCAAUCAGCACAGUCCACUGCAGCUCAGAGCUCCUGAGCUCCAACCAUCCUCCAGCCUCAGCCUCCAUGAGCGCAGAUUACAGGCGCGCGCCACCACACCCGGCAGGAAACACAGAUCAGCUGUUGGACUAAGA
Non-coding RNA from Oryzias latipes (Japanese medaka), 3149 nucleotides. Lineage: Eukaryota; Metazoa; Chordata; Actinopteri; Beloniformes; Adrianichthyidae. The record is from RefSeq and is a predicted model, not a curated record.